GGGAGAUUAAAGCUUGGAAAAGUAAAGCCAUGAUUCAAAAACUCAUUAAUCAAUCUGAAAAGAUAGAGCAUCCCGAUUUAUAAUCGGGACGGUCAAAGGUUCGAAUCCUUUCGCGCUCA
This 119-nucleotide transfer RNA is filed under the name Chryseobacterium endalhagicum. Its description in RNAcentral is "tRNA-Ile". The record is from RNAcentral. Lineage: Bacteria; Pseudomonadati; Bacteroidota; Flavobacteriia; Flavobacteriales; Weeksellaceae.